UACGAAGGUGGCAAGCGUUACUCGGAUUUACUAGGCGUAAAGAGCGUGUAGGCGGCUAGGUAGGUCCGUUGUGAAAACUCGAGGCUCAACCUCGAGACGCCGAUGGAAACCAUCUAGCUAGAGUCCGGAAGAGGAGAGUGGAAUUCCUGGUGUAGCGGUGAAAUGCGCAGAUAUCAGGAAGAACACCCGUGGCUAAGGCGGCUCUCUAGUACGGUACUGACGCUGAGACGCGAAAGCGUGGGGAGCGAACAGG
Molecule: ribosomal RNA, 253 nt
Filed under: uncultured bacterium
Lineage: Bacteria
Description: partial 16S ribosomal RNA
Rfam family: Bacterial small subunit ribosomal RNA
Source: RNAcentral